AAGGCUGAAACUUAAAGGAAUUGACGGAAGGGCACACCAGGAGUGGAGCCUGCGGCUUAAUUUGACUCAACACGGGAAAACUUACCAAGACCGAACAUUAGAGGGAAUGACAGAUUAAGGGUUUUUUCAUGAUUUAAUGGCGAGUGGUGCAUGGCCGUUCUUAGUUGGUGGAGUAAUUUGUCAGGUUAAUUCCGGUAACGAACGAGACUGAAACUUAUUAAUUAGUAUAUUUUCCAUGAGAAAAUAUUGUGGUAAAACACACGAGAGAAUGCGACUACUUAAAAGGACACAUUUCAAUUGAUUAUAAAUAAAUUAUUGUUCAACCACUUUGUGGAAGGCAUAUUUAAUUAUAAUAAAAGAAAAAGGAAGCAUUCAGCAAUAACAGGU
RNAcentral lists this ribosomal RNA (387 nucleotides) under Entamoeba sp. Its description in RNAcentral is "bacterial SSU rRNA". It matches the Rfam family "Eukaryotic small subunit ribosomal RNA", at positions 1133 to 1461 of the family's 1831-position model. RNAcentral also lists the same sequence under 1 other name. Lineage: Eukaryota; Evosea; Mastigamoebida; Endamoebidae. The record is from RNAcentral.